RNAcentral lists this unclassified non-coding RNA (240 nucleotides) under soil metagenome. RNAcentral describes it as "partial contains 5.8S ribosomal RNA, internal transcribed spacer 2, and large subunit ribosomal RNA". The record is from RNAcentral.
AACGCACGAGACCUGCGGACCUGCGGAGGGAUCAUUAAUGAGAAGCUGCCCCUCGUGGGUAGACCUCCCACCCUCUGUGAACUUACCUUCGUUGCUUUGGCAGGCCCGUCCUCUGGACCGCCGGCUUCGGCUGGCCCGUGCCUGCCAGAGGAUUCCAAACCCUGUCUGUCAGUGUUGUCUGAGUCUAUAUGAAAUCGUUAAAACUUUCAACAACGGAUCUCUAGAUCGGAAGAGCACACG